This 460-nucleotide ribosomal RNA is filed under the name uncultured bacterium. RNAcentral's name for it is "partial 16S ribosomal RNA". It matches the Rfam family "Bacterial small subunit ribosomal RNA", at positions 28 to 507 of the family's 1533-position model. The record is from RNAcentral.
GAUGAACGCUGGCGGCGUGCUUAACACAUGCAAGUCGAGCGGUCAGGCCUCUUCGGGGGUACACGAGUGGUGGACGGGUGAGUAACACGUGGGUGACCUGCCCUCAGCUAUGGGAUAAGCCUGGGUAACUGGGACUAAUACUGGAUAUGAACUUUCCUCGCAUGGGGAUUGGUGGAAAGUUUUUUCGGCUGGGGCUGGGCCCGCGGCCUAUCAGCUUGUUGGUGGGGUGAUGGCCUACCAAGGCGACGACGGGUAGCCGGCCUGAGUGGCCGACCGGCCACACCGGGACUGAGACACGGCCCGGACACCUACGGGAGGCAGCAGUGGGGAAUAUGACGCAAGGGGCGGAAGCCUAACGCAUCGACGCCGCGUGGGGGAUGACGACCUUCGGGGUGUAAACCUCUAACGACCCCGACGAAUUUUGACGGUAGGUAUAGAAGAAGCACCGGCCAACUACGUG